Non-coding RNA from Mycena galopus ATCC 62051, 94 nucleotides. The record is from the annotation of a GenBank genome assembly. NCBI's taxonomy places the organism in Eukaryota, Fungi, Basidiomycota, Agaricomycetes, Agaricales, Mycenaceae.
UCUUGACUAGUAUAUCGGUUAGUACACGCGCUUGUCAUUUGAUUACUGCAAUAAAUAGCCGCGCGAAAGCUGGGUUCGACUCCCAGGUCGAGAG